GAUGAACGCUAGCGGGAGGCUUAAUACAUGCAAGUCGAGGGGUAACAGGGGCUUCGGCCCGCUGACGACCGGCGCACGGGUGAGUAACGCGUACGCAACUUACCUCCAAGCGAGGGAUAGCCCUGGGAAACUGGGAUUAAUACCUCAUGUGAUUAUGAUGCCGCAUGGUGUUAUAAUUAAAGUUCAGGCGCUUGGAGAUGGGCGUGCGUCCUAUUAGCUAGUUGGUGAGGUGACGGCUCACCAAGGCGACGAUAGGUAGGGGGCGUGAGAGCGUGGCCCCCCACACGGGUACUGAGACACGGACCCGACUCCUACGGGAGGCAGCAGUAAGGAAUAUUGGACAAUGGGCGCAAGCCUGAUCCAGCCAUCCCGCGUGCAGGAUGACAGCCCUACGGGUUGUAAACUGCUUUUGUUAGGGAAGAAAAGUCGGCAUUUAUGCUGAUCUGACGGUACCAGAGGAAUAAGCACCGGCUAACUCCGUGCCAGCAGCCGU
RNAcentral lists this ribosomal RNA (493 nucleotides) under uncultured bacterium. Its description in RNAcentral is "bacterial SSU rRNA". It matches the Rfam family "Bacterial small subunit ribosomal RNA", at positions 28 to 518 of the family's 1533-position model. The record is from RNAcentral.